UACGUAGGGGGCGAGCGUUGUCCGGAUUUACUGGGCGUAAAGAGCGCGUAGGCGGAUGUUUACGUGUGGCCUCAAAGCCCCCGGCUCAACCGGGGAUCUGGGUUGCAAACUGGGCAUCUUGAGGGGGAUAGAGGAGAGUGGAAUUCCUGGUGUAGCGGUGAAAUGCGUAGAUAUCAGGAGGAACACCCGUGGCGAAGGCGGCUCUCUGGGUCCGCCCUGACGCUGAGGCGCGAAAGCGUGGGGAGCGAACAGG
This 253-nucleotide ribosomal RNA is filed under the name uncultured bacterium. RNAcentral's name for it is "partial 16S ribosomal RNA". It matches the Rfam family "Bacterial small subunit ribosomal RNA", at positions 524 to 776 of the family's 1533-position model. The record is from RNAcentral.